UACGUAGGGGGCAAGCGUUGUCCGGAAUCAUUGGGCGUAAAGAGCGCGUAGGCGGCCCUGUAAGUCCGCUGUGAAAGUCAAGGGCUCAACCCUUGGAUGCCGGUGGAUACUGCAGGGCUAGAGUCCGGAAGAGGCGAGUGGAAUUCCUGGUGUAGCGGUGAGAUGCGCAGAUAUCAGGAGGAACACCGAUGGCGAAGGCAGCUCGCUGGGACGGUACUGACGCUGAGGCGCGAAAGCGUGGGGAGCGAACAGG
Molecule: ribosomal RNA, 253 nt
Filed under: uncultured bacterium
Lineage: Bacteria
Description: partial 16S ribosomal RNA
Rfam family: Bacterial small subunit ribosomal RNA
Source: RNAcentral